CGAAAGUUAGUGUAUGGAAACGAGGUUGGGGGAAGCAUUCUCGUUUUGGCGCUUAACCUUUUACGUAAACAACAGCAUAACUCUGGUCCCAUCGAAAAUCACGAUCAAUUUACCAAAUUCUCAGGACAAUAAAAAUGGAAAAUGGAACAGUAUUCAACGUGUUUGGACUCCCCUUGAACGUUGUACUGAGAUAGGUUUAUCUGUCUGCACUACGGCAGAACAUAUAUGUAACAAUUAUAAACUGUAUCCGAAAUGAACAACACAUUUGCAUAAAUAUAUUAUAUAAAAAAUGAUGAAUACAACAGAGAAGCAUGUGGGAUGUAAAGAGUUUACACAUGAUAAAUGUACAUUCAUUUGUUUACUAUAAUGAGUAAUUUUUUACUUAAAUAUUGCAUGAUACUUUCAGUGGUUGUUGAAUUAUCUGAAGGUGUGUUAACACAAUAUUUGUUGGUCUUUACGGGUGUGGUGAAUUUGACAUGCAGGCGAAAUUGUUGGGUCCAUUUUAAAAUUAUAUUUCCACCGUUCUUCAUCCUCAUCGAAAAGUGGGAGACAUUAUAUAGUUUCGUACUAAGUAAAUUUGUUCUAUACAAAAUAUGUGCUGCUUCCAUAUGUUUCAAAGAAAGCUUUUUGUUAAGUUUUUGUCAUUAACAGUCAAAUUAAGGUUGACCAGUAUGAAACAUUUCUGAAACUGGUUCAUUAUAAUUUCUUAUGUUUUCAAGAUAUACAAAGCUUUCACAUUUUUCUUUUUCUGGUAAUGGUUCUAUUUUAGGGAUUUUAUGAAUUCAAUUUGCCUCAAACUUUAAUUAAAAAAAAUCUUUUUUUCCUGCAUUGGAGUCCUUGAUGUUUAAUUAGUAAUUUUGGCGUUAAUGCAGAGUAAAAAAAGUGUUUUUUGCUGUCCCGGGAUUUUGUGGUUUUUUUUGGCGUUAAACUUAAUGAGUUGUCUAGAUUUACAAAAUCAUCAAAUUCAAUAAAGAUUAAGAUCAAUACACAUAAACUGUGUACUAUAUACAGAUUCACUUAUCCAAUAAAAUUAGGGGUCACUUGUCCAGUAAAAUACCAGUUAUUGGAGAUUACUUAUGUGUAUUGUCUGCCAUAAGGUGUCCAAAUGACAUAAUUAUGAUUCAUUAAUGACAUAAUCAUGAUUCAUUAUAUAUUUUUCAUUUGUCACCUAACACCUAUCUUUAUGGCAUCCCUUAAAUUAACGAUGUGUGAAUAAAGAACAAACAAACGAUUGCAUAGCACCUGCUAUCAUGGAUAAUUGGAGUAUUGUCUCAGAAUUUUGGGGAGUUUAUAAUAAGGAAGUCAAUAAAUGAAAUCAAAGGAUUGUUAUUUCUCAACUCAUUUUAUUGGAAAGAAAACACUAUAACACGAUUUAUCCAAGCACUCUGACAAAUAUUUUGUCUGACUAUGUCCUAUCACUAAAGCCAUUGUUUAUAAAAAAAAAUGAUAAAUUUAUUCCAAUCACAAAUAUUGCAAUCAAUAUAAUAUGCACAUGUAAUAACUACAAAUUUAAUCAAACAGAAUAACCAAAUUUACUACACGAAAUAUAUAUACCUACCCUUUUUGCUCAUUUUUCCUUUCAAUUUAUAAUUUCAAAAGGAUCAUUUUAUAUAUAUAUGGGAUUGUUUGUUCUGAUGAAUGUAUUGGAUACGGAAAGAUCAAAUGUUUUUUUGCAUUAAAAGUUAAACAAAUUUAACAUCUGAGGUUUAUCCCUUUACAAAAUAUAUUAAUAAUUAUCUAUAUUUCUCAUUUUGCAAUAAUGGUAAGAACUUAUAAAUCCUAUUUUCACCUAUUACAAUAUAAAUCAUCAAUUCAGACAUUUUUACAACUACCAAAAAGAAAUAAUAAAUUGUUUUUUUAUAAAUCUAGAUAUUAAACCAUUAAACCAAUUUUAAUGAUUUGAAAUAUGGUUCUUUUACCUAUUCAAACAAAACAAAAAGUUUACAAACAAUCAAUUAGGUUUUAAUUCUAAAAGCAAAAUUCAAAAAUAAAGUGAAUUAACUGUUUUUUACUUGACUAAACUCAUAAACAUAAUAAUUUAUUGAUUUUAACAAUAAAAUUUCAAUGUCAAUAUUUUUUAUUCUUAUUCUAUAUUGUAUGCGUUUCUCAACAUCCUUCUUUGUGUAUGUUGUAUGCAAAUGUGAAAACCCUUAUUUGCCUAUGUUGUAUGCGUUACACUAUUUCUUUGUUGUAUGCAUUUCAUACCGACCCUCAGUUUAUGUCAACAUGCCAAAUAUGUUUUACAAAAGUACACAUGACCUUUAAAACAUGUGUCACCAUUGGUGCCGAAAUUAUAUUUGCAGUCAUGUGAACCUGUGACGUAAAUUAUUCAACUUCCCCCAUUCGUUAUUAAUUAUAAGGCCUAUUUCUUCUGAUCCUGUUUUUCGAGUUUUAAGUUAUCUAUAUAAACCCUAUUUAUAGAACAUCAUAGGACCAUGUGACAAGGCACUUCAGAAACUGCGCAAAGGAAAAAGGCCCGUUGUUCCCCCAACGCCAAGCCCCGACAUGUUCAAAUCCACCACUCAGAAGACUGUUGAAGCGUAGACGUAGAAAAGAUUUUGAAGAUUUUCGUUAAUGUUGUUGGCUUAUAUUGUGAUAUUGUGGAUUAUACAAGCAUUUCUGUGAUUUAUAAAUUAUGUUGACUCCAUAUAAUUGAAUUAAAGAGAUAAGUGUUACUUUGUUCAGAUAAAUGUAAAAUGACCUACUUUGUUCUAGGAGGUUGAAUGUUCAAAUUGUAUAUGUUCGUAAACUGUUUGGAAGCAAUUCUAACAUCUUAAAACAAAACACGUCCUUAAACAUUGUUUAAUUCUUAACAAUAAUAACAUCUCAACUGUUCAUGGCUUAGUGGUAUAGUAUCGGUUACCUUAUCAUUGUGAUACAUAUUGUAAUUUAUAUUGCAUAUCCAUGUUUCAUGUAAAAAUUAUUCUUUAUACUACAAGUUGUAUUAUACAAAGCAUAUGUGAUAUUUUGAUCAUGAUAUACCACGUAAUUUGCAUGUCAGUCUCAAUCACGGUUUAAAAUCACGAAAUAAUUAUGGCUGUUGUGAAAAAUGUUAUUUGUUAAAGCUAACAUUUCCAUUAUUUGUUGUGAACAAAUAAAACUGAGAAUAUA
This is a long non-coding RNA of Mya arenaria, 3111 nucleotides long. RefSeq lists it as uncharacterized. The record is from RefSeq and is a predicted model, not a curated record. The transcript has 2 exons. Lineage: Eukaryota; Metazoa; Mollusca; Bivalvia; Myida; Myidae.